AUGUACCCUGUAGCUUGGGCUGUAGUCGAAAAAGAAACAUAUGAGUCUUGGUUCUGGUUUGUUGAGAAGUUAAACAGAGACCUCAAAAUCAGCAAUCAAGGGGAUGGGUGGGUGUUCAUCUCAGAUCAGCAAAAAGGACUAAUAGGGGCUAUAGAGGAUAUUCUUCCAAAAGCAGAACACAGGAUGUGUGCAAGGCACAUUUACUCAAACUAG
RNAcentral lists this ribosomal RNA (213 nucleotides) under Triticum aestivum (bread wheat). RNAcentral describes it as "partial small subunit ribosomal RNA". Lineage: Eukaryota; Viridiplantae; Streptophyta; Magnoliopsida; Poales; Poaceae. The record is from RNAcentral.